GGGGGCGCAACGGAUUCGACGGGAUAGAAUCGUUGUGGAGAGGCGUGCCGGGUUCCGAGCUCCCGUUAAACGAUCGGAAAAACAAAACUGCCAAUACGCAGUUUGCAUACGCUGCUUAAGUAAUUAAGCAGCCGCUCCAGCCACUGAGCCCGCGCGGCGGUGAGUGAGCGUCAUUUUGCGGGAUAGGCCGAGAGCUUCGGUCCGGAGCUGCAGGCCGAGAUCCAAUCGGACUAGGUGACAACCGCUCUUGCCGGUUCUGAGGUUGCUAUCGAAAAUUUCGAAUCGGAUACGCAUCGUAGGCUCUUCACGGCGGGCUUUCUCGGACGCGGGUUCGACUCCCGCCGCCUCCACCA
Molecule: transfer-messenger RNA, 353 nt
Filed under: Bryobacteraceae
Lineage: Bacteria; Pseudomonadati; Acidobacteriota; Terriglobia; Bryobacterales
Also listed under: 1 other name
Description: QHXW01 sp003223115 Standard tmRNA
Rfam family: transfer-messenger RNA
About the family: Bacterial tmRNA, also known as 10Sa RNA or SsrA, is named for its dual tRNA and mRNA-like properties. Its role is to liberate the mRNA from a stalled ribosome.
Source: RNAcentral